This 65-nucleotide transfer RNA is filed under the name Bothrogonia lata. RNAcentral describes it as "tRNA-Pro". Lineage: Eukaryota; Metazoa; Arthropoda; Insecta; Hemiptera; Cicadellidae. The record is from RNAcentral. RNAcentral also lists the same sequence under 1 other name.
CAGUAUUUAGUUUAAAUUAAAAUUUUAAUUUUGGAUGUUAAGGAUGUAUUAUGUUAUUAUACUGA